UAGUUCAGUUGGUUAGAAUGCCUGCCUGUCACGCAGGAGGUCGCGGGUUCGAGUCCCG
This 58-nucleotide transfer RNA is filed under the name Bacillus licheniformis. RNAcentral's name for it is "tRNA-Asp". It matches the Rfam family "tRNA", at positions 8 to 62 of the family's 71-position model. Rfam says of the family: Transfer RNA (tRNA) molecules are approximately 80 nucleotides in length. Their secondary structure includes four short double-helical elements and three loops (D, anti-codon, and T loops). Lineage: Bacteria; Bacillati; Bacillota; Bacilli; Caryophanales; Bacillaceae. The record is from RNAcentral.